RNAcentral lists this transfer RNA (75 nucleotides) under uncultured phage cr116_1. RNAcentral's name for it is "crAssphage cr116_1 tRNA-Met". It matches the Rfam family "tRNA". From Rfam's summary of the family: Transfer RNA (tRNA) molecules are approximately 80 nucleotides in length. Their secondary structure includes four short double-helical elements and three loops (D, anti-codon, and T loops). Further hydrogen bonds mediate the characteristic L-shaped molecular structure. tRNAs have two regions of fundamental functional importance: the anti-codon, which is responsible for specific mRNA codon recognition, and the 3' end, to which the tRNAs corresponding amino acid is attached (by aminoacyl-tRNA synthetases). tRNAs cope with the degeneracy of the genetic code in two manners: having more than one tRNA (with a specific anti-codon) for a particular amino acid; and 'wobble' base-pairing, i.e. permitting non-standard base-pairing at the 3rd anti-codon position. Lineage: Duplodnaviria; Heunggongvirae; Uroviricota; Caudoviricetes; Crassvirales; Steigviridae. The record is from RNAcentral.
GGGUCUAUAGCUCAAGUGGUUAGAGCAGCACACUCAUAAUGUGAAGGUUUAGGGUUCAAAUCCCUAUUGACCCAC